UCCCAUCCAAGUACUAACCAGGCCCAACCCUGCUUAGCUUCUAAGAUCAGAUGAGAUUGGGCGC
This 64-nucleotide small RNA is filed under the name Cricetulus griseus (Chinese hamster). Lineage: Eukaryota; Metazoa; Chordata; Mammalia; Rodentia; Cricetidae. The record is from RNAcentral.